Molecule: ribosomal RNA, 406 nt
Filed under: uncultured bacterium
Lineage: Bacteria
Description: partial 16S ribosomal RNA
Rfam family: Bacterial small subunit ribosomal RNA
Source: RNAcentral
AUUGAACGCUGGCGGCAGGCCUAACACAUGCAAGUCGAACGAGUGGAGGACGGGUGAGUAAUGUCUGGGAAACUGCCUGAUGGAGGGGGAUAACUACUGGAAACGGUAGCUAAUACCGCAUACCAUCGGAUGUGCCCAGAUGGGAUUAGGUAGUAGGGGGGGUAAAGGCUCCACAGGGCGAACAUCCCUAGCUGGUCUGAGAGGAUGACCGGCCAAACUGGAACUGAGAAACGGUCCAGACUCCUACGGGAGGCAGAAGUGGGGAAUAGUGCAAAAGGGGCGCAAGCCGGAUGCAGCAAUGCCGCGUGUAUGAAGAAGGUCUUCGGGUUGUAAAGUACUUUCAGAGGGGAGGCGUUACCCGCAGAGGAAGCACCGGCUAACUCCGUGCCAGCAGCCGCGGUAAUUC